UUAAGUCCCGCAACGAGCGCAACCCUUAAGCUUAGUUGCCAUCAUUAAGUUGGGCACUCUAAGUUGACUGCCGGUGACAAACCGGAGGAAGGUGGGGAUGACGUCAAAUCAUCAUGCCCCUUAUGAUUUGGGCUACACACGUGCUACAAUGGACAAUACAAAGGGUAGCGAAACCGCGAGGUCAAGCAAAUCCCAUAAAGUUGUUCUCAGUUCGGAUUGUAGUCUGCAACUCGACUAUAUGAAGCUGGAAUCGCUAGUAAUCGUAGAUCAGCAUGCUACGGUGAAUACGUUCCCGGGUCUUGUACACACCGCCCGUCACACCACGAGAGUUUGUAACACCCGAAGCCGGUGGAGUAACCAUUUGGAGCUAGCCGUCGAAGGUGGGACAAAUGAUUGGGGUGAAGUCGUAACAAGGUAGCCGUAUCGGAAGGUGCGGCUGGAUCACCUCCUUUCUAAGGA
This 459-nucleotide ribosomal RNA is filed under the name Staphylococcus epidermidis NIHLM015. RNAcentral describes it as "bacterial SSU rRNA". It matches the Rfam family "Bacterial small subunit ribosomal RNA", at positions 1080 to 1533 of the family's 1533-position model. Lineage: Bacteria; Bacillati; Bacillota; Bacilli; Caryophanales; Staphylococcaceae. The record is from RNAcentral.